Molecule: unclassified non-coding RNA, 345 nt
Filed under: soil metagenome
Description: partial contains 5.8S ribosomal RNA, internal transcribed spacer 2, and large subunit ribosomal RNA
Rfam family: 5.8S ribosomal RNA (bases 1-119)
Source: RNAcentral
GAUGAAGAACGCAGCGAAAUGCGAUACGUAAUGUGAAUUGCAAAUUCAGUGAAUCAUCGAGUCUUUGAACGCACAUUGCGCCCCCUGGUAAUCCGGGGGGCAUGCCUGUCCGAGCGUCAUUGCUGCACUCAAGCACGGCUUGUGUGUUGGGCCCCGUCCUCCGAUCCCGGGGGACGGGCCCGAAAGGCAGCGGCGGCACCGCGUCCGGUCCUCGAGCGUAUGGGGCUUUGUCACCCGCUCUGUAGGCCCGGCCGGCGCUUGCCGAUCAACCCAAAUUUUUAUCCAGGUUGACCUCGGAUCAGGUAGGGAUACCCGCUGAACUUAAGCAUAUCAAUAAGCGGAGGA